This is a long non-coding RNA of Macrobrachium nipponense, 1310 nucleotides long. RefSeq lists it as uncharacterized. Lineage: Eukaryota; Metazoa; Arthropoda; Malacostraca; Decapoda; Palaemonidae. The record is from RefSeq and is a predicted model, not a curated record. The transcript is spliced from 4 exons.
CACUUACUGAUCCAUGGCCGGUGAGAAGAUGGGAUUUGCUGUUCGUUUUGUCAAUUUGUUUAUGCAGUGCGGGGAAAAAAUGCUGUAUACGCCAUAGAUGUUCUCACUGGAAUUUUGGAAGUACGAUUGAUAUAUAAGUGUGUGAAGGGUGACUCUUGUUUUCGAAUAUGCUCUGAAGAAAAAUAUAGGUGUACAUGGUCUCGCUGGAAUAUUUGAAGUCCGGUUAAUCGAUAUUGUGUGUAGGAAGACUUGUCUUCGAAUGUGCAUUUGAGAGGAGGCGACAACAACACCAUUUUAAGAAGAAACCUUUUUAAAGUAGGAUUUACGGUUACAACGUACAUUAUAUGAAGAAACUCAUUUCAGAGGAGUAGUUACGUCAUCACUUAAAACUAAGGAACUUUUAUGAAGAAACUUUGUGAGGAGGCGGCCAUUACGCCACUGUACGAAGAAACCUUUUGUUAGGAGGCAGCUACGACGUAACUUCUACGAAGAAGCCCUUUAUGAGAGUAGUUUACGAAGCUAUAAGAAACUUUUUUGAGGAGGAGUCUACGAAGAAGCCUUUUAUGAGAGUUUACAAAGCUAUGAAGAAACAUUUUCUGAGGAGGAGUUUACGACGUAACUUCUAAAAAGAAUCUUUUUGUGAGGUAUUUAUGAGGCCACUUAUACAAGAAACUUUUUCUGAGGAGAUAAUUAAAAAUCGUUUCUACGGAGGAACAUUUUUGAGGAGUCUGCAAAGUUACUUCUACGAAGAAACUUUCUGAGUAGUUGAUGACGUCACUUCUAUGAAAAACUUUUUCUAAGGGGAGGUUUCUACGAAGAAACCAUUUCUGAGGGGAAAGUCAUAACGUCAGUUUUACCAAGAAACAUUUUCUGAGGGGAAGUGUACGACGUCACUUCUACAAAGAAACUUUUUGUGAUGAGUAUAUGAAGAAACCUUUUCUGAGAGGAGAUUUUUACGAAGUAACUUUUCUGAUAAUCAAUUUCUACGAAGUAACAUUUUCCGAGGGGAAGUUUAUGACGUCACUUCUACGAAGAAACCUUUUGUGAAGAGUUUACAAAAACAUUUUCUGAGAGGAGGCUGCUACAACAUCACUUCUAUGAAAAAAACCUUUCCUGAGAGGAGGUUGCUACAACGUCUCUACGGUCAGGCAGCUAAAAAAAUAUAUACGUGAUGUGGUCAUGUACAAUUUAAGUGAGAUUUUUUAAGGAUAAUUGUAGUUUAAGUAUGAAAAAGAUCCUAAAAGUUCUGUACUUGACUAAUGUCUGUGAAGACAUAAAGUUUCAAGAAAGGAAUAAAGUGAAAAGUUCCC